Molecule: ribosomal RNA, 1343 nt
Filed under: uncultured bacterium
Lineage: Bacteria
Description: 16S ribosomal RNA
Rfam family: Bacterial small subunit ribosomal RNA
Source: RNAcentral
GACGAACGCUGGCGGCGUGCUUAACACAUGCAAGUCGAACGGAAAGGCCCUGCUUUUGUGGGGUGCUCGAGUGGCGAACGGGUGAGUAACACGUGAGUAACCUGCCCUUGACUUUGGGAUAACUUCAGGAAACUGGGGCUAAUACCGGAUAGGAGCUCCUGCUGCAUGGUGGGGGUUGGAAAGUUUCGGCGGUUGGGGAUGGACUCGCGGCUUAUCAGCUUGUUGGUGGGGUAGUGGCUUACCAAGGCUUUGACGGGUAGCCGGCCUGAGAGGGUGACCGGCCACAUUGGGACUGAGAUACGGCCCAGACUCCUACGGGAGGCAGCAGUGGGGAGUAUUGCACAAUGGGCGGAAGCCUGAUGCAGCAACGCCGCGUGCGGGAUGACGGCCUUCGGGUUGUAAACCGCUUUCGCCUGUGACGAAGCGUGAGUGACGGUAAUGGGUAAAGAAGCACCGGCUAACUACGUGCCAGCAGCCGCGGUGAUACGUAGGGUGCGAGCGUUGUCCGGAUUUAUUGGGCGUAAAGGGCUCGUAGGUGGUUGAUCGCGUCGGAAGUGUAAUCUUGGGGCUUAACCCUGAGCGUGCUUUCGAUACGGGUUGACUUGAGGAAGGUAGGGGAGAAUGGAAUUCCUGGUGGAGCGGUGGAAUGCGCAGAUAUCAGGAGGAACACCAGUGGCGAAGGCGGUUCUCUGGGCCUUUCCUGACGCUGAGGAGCGAAAGCGUGGGGAGCGAACAGGCUUAGAUACCCUGGUAGUCCACGCUGUAAACGGUGGGUACUAGGUGUGGGGUCCAUUCCACGGGUUCCGUGCCGUAGCUAACGCUUUAAGUACCCCGCCUGGGGAGUACGGCCGCAAGGCUAAAACCCAAAGGAAUUGACGGGGCCCCGCACAAGCGGCGGAGCAUGCGGAUUAAUUCGAUGCAACGCGUAGAACCUUACCUGGGUUUGACAUGGAUCGGGAGUGCUCAGAGAUGGGUGUGCCUCUUUUGGGGUCGGUUCACAGGUGGUGCAUGGCUGUCGUCAGCUCGUGUCGUGAGAUGUUGGGUUAAGUCCCGCAACGAGCGCAACCCUUGUUCACUGUUGCCAGCACGUUAUGGUGGGGACUCAGUGGAGACCGCCGGGGUCAACUCGGAGGAAGGUGGGGAUGACGUCAAGUCAUCAUGCCCCUUAUGUCCAGGGCUUCACGCAUGCUACAAUGGCUGGUACAGAGAGUGGCGAGCCUGUGAGGGUGAGCGAAUCUCGGAAAGCCGGUCUCAGUUCGGAUUGGGGUCUGCAACUCGACCUCAUGAAGUCGGAGUCGCUAGUAAUCGCAGAUCAGCAACGCUGCGGUGAAUACGUUCCCGGG